GAUGAACGCUGGCGGCGUGCCUAAUACAUGCAAGUCGAGCGAACAGACGAGGCGCUUGCUCCUCUGACGUUAGCGGCGGACGGGUGAGUAACACGUGGAUAACCUACCUAUAAGACUGGGAUAACUUCGGGAAACCGGAGCUAAUACCGGAUAAUAUAUUGAACCGCAUGGUUCAAUAGUGAAAGACGGUUUUGCUGUCACUUAUAGAUGGAUCCGCGCCGCAUUAGCUAGUUGGUAAGGUAACGGCUUACCAAGGCAACGAUGCGUAGCCGACCUGAGAGGGGGAUCGGCCACACUGGAACUGAGACACGGUCCAGACGCCUACGGGAGGCAGCAGUAGGGAAUCUUCCGCAAUGGGCGAAAGCCUGACGGAGCAACGCCGCGUGAGUGAUGAAGGUCUUCGGAUCGUAAAACUCUGUUAUUAGGGAAGAACAAAUGUGUAAGUAACUAUGCACGUCUUGACGGUACCUAAUCAGAAAGCCACGGCUAACUACGUG
Molecule: ribosomal RNA, 497 nt
Filed under: uncultured bacterium
Lineage: Bacteria
Description: partial 16S ribosomal RNA
Rfam family: Bacterial small subunit ribosomal RNA
Source: RNAcentral